UACGGGGGGGGCAAGCGUUGUUCGGAAUUACUGGGCGUAAAGGGCUUGUAGGUGGCCAACUAAGUCAGACGUGAAAUCCCUCAGCUUAACUGGGGAACUGCGUCUGAUACUGGAUGGCUUGAGUUUGGGAGAGGGACGCGGAAUUCCAGGUGUAGCGGUGAAAUGCGUUGAUAUUGGAAGGAACGCCGGUGGCGAAAGCGACCUGCUGGAUCUCUUCUGACGCUGAGGCGCGAAAGCUAGGGGAGCAAACGGG
Molecule: ribosomal RNA, 253 nt
Filed under: uncultured bacterium
Lineage: Bacteria
Description: partial 16S ribosomal RNA
Rfam family: Bacterial small subunit ribosomal RNA
Source: RNAcentral